RNAcentral lists this ribosomal RNA (430 nucleotides) under uncultured bacterium. RNAcentral's name for it is "partial 16S ribosomal RNA". It matches the Rfam family "Bacterial small subunit ribosomal RNA", at positions 354 to 796 of the family's 1533-position model. The record is from RNAcentral.
GUGGGGAAUAUUGCACAAUGGGCGGAAGCCUGAUGCAGCAACGCCGCGUGCGGGAUGACGGCCUUCGGGUUGUAAACCGCUUUCAGCAGGGACGAAGCGCAAGUGACGGUACCUGCAGAAGAAGCACCGGCUAACUACGUGCCAGCAGCCGCGGUGAUACGUAGGGUGCGAGCGUUGUCCGGAUUUAUUGGGCGUAAAGAGCUUGUAGGCGGUUGGUUGCGUCGAAAGUGCAAACUCAGGGCUUAACUCUGAGCCUGCUUUCGAUACGGGCUGACUGGAGGAAGGUAGGGGAGAAUGGAAUUCCCGGUGGAGCGGUGGAAUGCGCAGAUAUCGGGAGGAACACCAGUGGCGAAGGCGGUUCUCUGGACCUUUCCUGACGCUGAGAAGCGAAAGCGUGGGGAGCAAACAGGAUUAGAAACCCCUGUAGUCC